Molecule: ribosomal RNA, 550 nt
Filed under: uncultured bacterium
Lineage: Bacteria
Description: bacterial SSU rRNA
Rfam family: Bacterial small subunit ribosomal RNA
Source: RNAcentral
UAGGGAAUCUUCGGCAAUGGACGAAAGUCUGACCGAGCAACGCCGCGUGAGUGAAGAAGGUUUUCGGAUCGUAAAGCUCUGUUGUAAGAGAAGAACGAGUGUGAGAGUGGAAAGUUCACACUGUGACGGUAUCUUACCAGAAAGGGACGGCUAACUACGUGCCAGCAGCCGCGGUAAUACGUAGGUCCCGAGCGUUGUCCGGAUUUAUUGGGCGUAAAGCGAGCGCAGGCGGUUAGAUAAGUCUGAAGUUAAAGGCUGUGGCUUAACCAUAGUACGCUUUGGAAACUGUUUAACUUGAGUGCAAGAGGGGAGAGUGGAAUUCCAUGUGUAGCGGUGAAAUGCGUAGAUAUAUGGAGGAACACCGGUGGCGAAAGCGGCUCUCUGGCUUGUAACUGACGCUGAGGCUCGAAAGCGUGGGGAGCAAACAGGAUUAGAUACCCUGGUAGUCCACGCCGUAAACGAUGAGUGCUAGGUGUUAGACCCUUUCCGGGGUUUAGUGCCGUAGCUAACGCAUUAAGCACUCCGCCUGGGGAGUACGACCGCAAGGUUG